CAUCAGAUGACUGAAAGAAAGUAAUGGUCUCUUAAACCAAUUUAUAGUAAAUAACGAUUACUUCUGAUG
RNAcentral lists this transfer RNA (69 nucleotides) under Lamproblatta albipalpus. RNAcentral describes it as "tRNA-Lys". The record is from RNAcentral. Lineage: Eukaryota; Metazoa; Arthropoda; Insecta; Blattodea; Lamproblattidae.